GUGCUCACUUCAGCAGCACAUAUACUAAAAUUGGAACAAUAGAGAGAUUAGCCUGGCACCUGCACAAGGAUGACACACAAAUUCGUGAAGUGUUCCAUACUUUU
Molecule: small nuclear RNA, 104 nt
Organism: Delphinapterus leucas (beluga whale)
Lineage: Eukaryota; Metazoa; Chordata; Mammalia; Artiodactyla; Monodontidae
Source: Ensembl